CUCACUCUCUCUUUUCUCUCUCAGCUCCCUCGUCUCUUUCCUUCUCUGCAACAUACACACAUACACACCGAACCACCAUCACUCGACUUCUCCGACGAGUUAGACCGUCGGACCACCACUGUGCCCUAUGUUUCCCUAUUUCUGUAAGCUUAGACCAUGAGCAUUAACCUAGACGUGGAGCUCGACACUGCACAGAAACCUUACCACUAUUCCUCAUCUCUUUCAUGGAACUCCAGCAAGAUUUCUCAGUUUUCCGACUUGGGUAAGUUCUGUCUUCCUUCCUUUGGACCUUAGUGAUGUUUUGGUUAUGCUUAAAACCUUGAGACUGUGUCAUGGUUAUGUUUUGGUACAGUUACACCUUAGAAAUCUUUCCCCAGAAAUGUUUGAGGCUGGAACUGUGAUCAUUUAAUCACUUUCAGAUCAUUUUUUCCGCUAACCUCGACCACAACUGGACUCCUAAUAGGUGUAGAUUUGUUCUCUAUAUUCUUAACUUCAAAAUGGCUUUUGAAUCACUGAGUUUGGUUAGCUAUCGAGUUAGAAAUCAACUCUGAAAUUUGGGAAAAAAUUCCCAAAUUUCUAGAGUAGUUUGACCAUGGCCAUUUGGCCACUUUUAGACCCAAUUUCUGGACAACACGAACCACCUUUGAACUUUUAGUAAAUAUAGAUCGAUUCAUUACUUUCUUAGCUUCAAAUUGGUCUUUGUAGAAUUGAUUUUGGUUGAGAAUUGAGCUCGUUAGGAGCUCUAGAAGUUGGACUAGAAACUUGCAAAAAUUUCAGGUUUUCGCUAAGAAGGUGAGUACGGUUGUACUCGCAGAACAUGGGUACACGUGGUCUCAUAUGGGUCAUCGGCUUGUGUGGUGCAUGGAUACCAGUGCAGCUACUUAUGGAGGCGCGUGAUGGUGAGUCCGGCUUUCAACCGGCAUGUGGUCGACGUGUGUGGGUCUGUGACAUCGAGUAGAUCGAUUUUGUAUAUUCAAACCUUAUGUUUGACCAAUCUACGGAGGUUUUAUUUAAGUUUCCAUUUAUGUGUUAUUAAACUAAGUUAAUUAGUAAUUUCACAUAUAGGGGAACAUAUCCUGAGGGCGUACGGGGUCAACCAAGGCUCGGGGGCUACGAUCUGACAACAUACUUAUGAGUGGGCAGUUUGUUUUUAUACCUAUAUAUAGUUAUAGUUCCCUUAAAUGUGUAUUUACUUCAUUUUUAUGCUUAUAUUGCCAAGUAACGUUAUUGUGCUAUUAAAUGUGAUAAAUAUUGCUAUAUCGUUUGGAUAUUACUGUCAUGACAUUCUUACAUGCUUGUGCAUGCUCAUCUUGUUGCACCCGGUGUUAGUACUCGCCCUAGGGCCAGGGCCAGCCUUUCACAUUUAUGUUCACAUCCGCACCGUUCGCUCGCCUUGGAUCCAAGUUAGGUGUCAGUCCUGUCGUACAGAUUGCAUUAGGCAAUCCCGACUCGUAUGUAAUCGUGCUUAUGCACCAGCCUUCAUGUGAUCGUAGUGUUAGAGUAUAUUGAUUACACCCAGUCCUAUUCUUUUUAGAAAUUAUCUGUACGAACUCGUGUGUCAGCUUAGAUGGAUGAGCACUUAGUUAUACUUGAUUAUCACAUGAUUAUAUUGCGACAUUUGAGAUAUCAUGACUUGGCAUAUUUCUGGUUAUAUUGUUGUUUACAUACUUACGUAGUAUGUUUUAAGGAAACUAUACUUGUUUUACAGUAAGGGGUUACUAUGUUCGAAAAUAAAGGUUUUCUUACAAACGUGCUGACCCACUCUACUUUGUCCCUCUAGGCUUAGUAACUGUGCUUACGUGUAAACGAGGAUUCUGGCAAAUCUCAGGAGAUGGUUAUCUUCAGUGGUCUAACCCUCAUCCUAUUUAAUAUACUAUCUUAUGCUCAGACAUCACGUGUGAAAUGCAUUCAAUCCCGUUCACCUGUGCACUCUUUUGAUUAGGCACUUUUAGGUUUAAAUUUAUUCACAUCUUUUUCCCACUACACUUCACUGUAUGGCUUCGUCAC
This 2007-nucleotide long non-coding RNA is filed under the name Malus domestica (apple). RNAcentral's name for it is "long non-coding RNA (MDOM_LNC010609)". The record is from RNAcentral. Lineage: Eukaryota; Viridiplantae; Streptophyta; Magnoliopsida; Rosales; Rosaceae.